AGUCAAAAAAGAACAGCCUUGACACUGAAUUCAGCUCUGAGUGACCUUGAGAUCAGGAUUAAUCAGUAGUGAAGUGUUACACCCAGUAGCAAAACAAACAUUCCUGAAAUGCAAUGAAUAUUGCAAAUACUUUGUGGAAAACGAGAUUUUUAUUUGCUGAUUGAAAUGAACUCAUUGUGUGAUGUCAUACAGGAUAUUAAAUGGCUUUAUUCUUGCUGUGGACAAACCCUGUAAUGAAAUCAGCUUGCUCAUCAGUUAUUGUAAAAUAUUAAAGACAAGAUCGAUUUUAAAGGGGAAAAAGAGGCUAAACCAGUUCACAUUCUGCAUUCCUUCAUGCGUCACAGAAGCUUUUUGAUAUAUUUCCUCAGUCAUUUCCUGCUGGAUUCUGCUGUUCUCCGCUGUGAUUAUAUCAAAUCUGAUGUUUUAGUAGACGUCUUCUCCGAGGAUAUAAAUGAAACAAAACAAAUCUGAUGCAGGAGUUAAAAUAGGAAUACAUAUUUCCAGAUCUGGAUCUGGAUGUUCUCUGAAACCUCAAAAUAAGAAAAGUAAGACUUUAUGCCAGUAAUAUGACAAGAAAACUAAACACAGCUGAAGAAAAAAAAAAGAAGACAGAUGAAUCCAAACCUGCGCAGAAGAAAAAAACAAUGAAUAGAGGAAAAGAAAAUGUCCGUGGAUUCAGAAAACAACGUAAUCGGCAGCAUAAAAACAGCCUCGACAAAAAUCGACCAAAGUUCUCUCUUGAUCCAGAAGGACAGAUGAGAAAGCAGCAGCUUUUCUCUUCUAACCAUCAGGAUGUUCUUCAUCACUGUCAGUCGAUGAUUCAGACUGAGACUGGAACACAAAACUCUAAUAUUUUCCUGUGAAAACACUGUUUUUAAGUGUUCAUGACUGUCACUGCACUGAACUGUGUUAAACUGGGGCAGAAACACUGAGAUCACACUGUCCUUCUGUUUGAGCUGAUGUUCAUGGCAGCAGUUGCUCAAACUGUCUAGAGUUUUACCAGUUCUGUGACUUCAGGCACUUUAUUCUGACAUCUUUAAAUGUGUCAUUACUUUACUUC
Long non-coding RNA from Megalobrama amblycephala (Wuchang bream), 1060 nucleotides. RefSeq lists it as uncharacterized. The transcript has 4 exons. NCBI's taxonomy places the organism in Eukaryota, Metazoa, Chordata, Actinopteri, Cypriniformes, Xenocyprididae. The record is from RefSeq and is a predicted model, not a curated record.